UACGGGGGGAGCAAGCGUUGUUCGGAUUUACUGGGCGUAAAGGGCGCGUAGGCGGCCACCGCAAGUCGACUGUGAAAUCUCCGGGCUUAACCCGGAAAGGUCAGCCGAUACUGCGGGGCUAGAGUGCAGAAGGGGCAACUGGAAUUCUCGGUGUAGCGGUGAAAUGCGUAGAUAUCGAGAGGAACACCUGCGGCGAAGGCAGGUUGCUGGGCUGACACUGACGCUGAGGCGCGAAAGCUAGGGGAGCGAACGGG
Molecule: ribosomal RNA, 254 nt
Filed under: uncultured bacterium
Lineage: Bacteria
Description: partial 16S ribosomal RNA
Rfam family: Bacterial small subunit ribosomal RNA
Source: RNAcentral